Molecule: long non-coding RNA, 1495 nt
Filed under: Triticum aestivum (bread wheat)
Lineage: Eukaryota; Viridiplantae; Streptophyta; Magnoliopsida; Poales; Poaceae
Description: long non-coding RNA (TAES_LNC025047)
Source: RNAcentral
AACGAUGGUGGCGAUUCAGAACAUCAUCGGUUGGCUCGCCAUCUCCUUCACGAAUGUAUGGCAUGAUGCACCCACAUGUUUCCCAAGCUUAUUUUCUGCCAUUUCUCUUCUCGCGACGAUACGAGCUUCAUGCUUGCUAAUCGAUGUUUAAUCCACAUGACUCAUCACUUCUCUACAUGGGACGACUGCUUCAAGGAUUUGGUGUUGGUGUCAUAUCAUACAUGGUUUGUAAUAAAGUAUCUUCACUGCAUGAUUAUUCUGUGCCUAGGAUGUUCAUGACUUUAUGCCUUAAGGUUUUGAGUACUUCUCAGCUCGUUCAAAAAUGUUCAGAAACAAGAGAGCAACUAAUAUGUCAAUAUACUGGAUGCAGAAUGGUCCAGGGUUUAUUUUUUUGGAAAAGAUGGUUCAUUGUUUAUACCUACGCACCCCUACCAAAACUAAAUUAAUCUUUUGAAAUUAGAACAUUUUUACUUUGUGCUUGGGCCUCAGUGCAUGCUGAUUUUUAUGGCUUUAUGCUUUAAGAGAUUCAGUACUUCUCCAUCGUAUAUAACAACUUAUUUUAUUGCAAACAGAUUAUUGAGCUACUUAAUAGUUACAAUACUAACUCCUAUGUAUGAAUUAGGCAUGCGAUCAUACCAGAUGCCUGUAUACAUCAGAGCUCCUCAGAGCACAAGAGGAUCGCUUGGCUUCAUGAAAUCCUCAAAUGCAGAAUCAGCAAUAGCUAUGCAAAAGAAAAGAAGCACAGUCAGUAUGCUACAUGACAUGAGAACAACAGAUGACUACCUAAUCUAAGUACAACAUAAGUUUCGUAUAAAUAGGAUCGAAAUGAAUCAUAAUUAAUGGUUAUAGUCAAUAAAAUGCCAGAAUGAGUUAUAUUGACCAACCUAAGUACCCAAUAUUGUUACGUCCAUGAGACAGUGUGCAAUCAAAAUCAUGUGAUAGUUAACUAUUUCUAAUCCAAUAGAUUGUAUACAACACAGACUGAUAUUUUAGAUUCAAAAGAAGAAUCCAGUAUCAGAGGCUAUCUGAACUUACUUUUGAAUCACGCCACCGCUAGUCCACUGCCUCCUGAUGAUAACACCAUCAAUCAUUAGGUUGGUUUCCAUCCAUCAGUAUGUUCACCCUUGAGAAGUCCAGGCUAGGGUGCUACAAUUAGGAUCCCUAUCAGAUAAACGAAGAACUAUAUUUCUUGAUAUAAUUGGAGGGAUUCCACUACCAUAACAACAGGUGGAUGCAGCUGUUCAACCCGGGUGGGGAGCAUACAAAAUCUGCAAAAUAGGGAGGUUAGAAGAUGAUAAUUUCAUUAAUAGUUCGGUACACACAGUACUUUAUAGAUGGUUGCUCACAUAUCUAAAUGCCGCAUUUCUUGGUUCAUACGUAGCAAAAAUUCCUUGCAAUAUUUUCUAGAACCAGGAACAAUCACUGCAUUGUGAAUGUUGCAUUUCUGUUUCUCUCACGCAGCUUCAGAAGGAAAUCGCGGAUCAUGAGCUUGCGG